AGGGGUUCUCCGAGCUAAAGCAGAUUUCAGCCUGUCAGUCAGUGUUGUGACCAUUUCCUGUGAGAGAAUGAACAGACACUCCCACACCUCAUUUCAGCUUAGACUCUGAGCAAUAAGGAUCUUUCUGCAGCUCUGAUAUAGUGACAGUUUUAGGAGGAUAGGAACGAUUGUACAUCCGUACUGCUUCGGAAGGGAGCUGUGGAACACAGACACUUCUGGUCCCGGGCAACAUGGAGGAGUCGCAGCUUCCGGUUUAUAUACACAGCGCCGAAUACGUGGAAUUAUGUGAUAAUUUGCUGAGCAAAGUGCCCCGGAGGGCCAGCAUGGUGCACUCAUUAAUCGAGGCAUAUGGGCUGCUCAAAGAGAUGAGGGUAGUAAAGCCAAAAGUUGCAUCUAUGGAAGAGAUGGCUGCCUUUCACACUGAUGCAUAUCUCCAGCAUCUACAUAAAGUCAGUGAGGAAGGCGACAAUGAUGAUCCUGAAACACUUGAAUAUGGACUAGGUUACGACUGCCCCAUUACUGAAGGAAUAUAUGACUAUGCUGCUGCUGUGGGGGGAGCCACUUUAACUGCUGCUGAACAGCUUAUAGAGGGCAAAACUCGCAUUGCUGUCAACUGGCCUGGUGGUUGGCAUCACGCAAAGAAAGAUGAAGCUUCUGGAUUCUGUUACCUUAAUGAUGCUGUCCUGGGUAUUUUGAAACUGCGGGAAAAAUUUGACCGGGUUUUGUACGUAGAUAUGGAUUUACAUCAUGGUGAUGGGGUUGAAGACGCUUUUAGCUUCACUUCAAAAGUAAUGACUGUUUCUCUCCAUAAAUUUUCCCCUGGAUUUUUUCCUGGCACUGGUGAUGUAAGUGACAUUGGCCUGGGUAAGGGACGUUACUACAGUAUUAAUGUGCCAUUACAAGAUGGAAUACAGGAUGAUAAAUAUUACCAAAUCUGCGAAGGUGUCCUAAAAGAGGUUUUCACAACUUUUAACCCUGAGGCAGUUGUCCUGCAGUUGGGAGCAGAUACAAUAGCCGGGGAUCCCAUGUGUUCUUUUAACAUGACCCCAGAGGGGAUUGGAAAGUGCCUAAAAUAUGUUCUACAGUGGCAGCUUCCAACACUCAUACUGGGAGGAGGGGGCUACCAUCUCCCAAACACAGCUCGUUGCUGGACAUACUUGACCGCACUUAUAGUUGGCAGGACUUUAUCUUCUGAAAUCCCAGACCACGAGAUAUGCGUAUUACUGUCUAUUCCCAGUUCUUCACAGAAUACGGACCUGACUAUGUAUUAGAGAUUACACCGAGCUGUCGGCCUGACCGCAAUGACACUCAGAAGGUUCAGGAAAUCUUACAAUCAAUUAAAGGUAACUUGAAACGAGUGGUUUAACGUGAGGUUCCCUACAGAGACGGUGGUUUUUCCUAUUGUUUCUCAGUCCACUGAAGCAUACUUUGCACAUAAAAACCAAGUGCAGUGUUGUCUGUGCAUAUAGGGUGCCACUGCAUAGCAACAUGUCUUGCUACACUCACCUCCACAUUCCUCUACUGUGUGUCCUUUGUGCUCCAAGAAAAAAAAUAUAUAUAUUUUUUUUUUUAACUUGUUGCUUUUAACUGUUGUUUUUAAAUGAAUAUUAAACCAUUGUUUAUAAA
This is an RNA transcript of Xenopus laevis (African clawed frog), 1626 nucleotides long. It is a transcript of the gene named histone deacetylase 8 L homeolog, with no coding region annotated. The transcript is spliced from 12 exons. The record is from RefSeq and is marked provisional. Lineage: Eukaryota; Metazoa; Chordata; Amphibia; Anura; Pipidae.